GGGCUCACCUCAACAGCACAUAGAUUAAAAUGGAAUAAUAUAGAGUGGAUUAGCAUGGCCCCUGUGCAAGGAUGACACGCAAAUUCGUGAAACAUUCCACAUUUUU
Small nuclear RNA from Artibeus jamaicensis (Jamaican fruit-eating bat), 106 nucleotides. The record is from RefSeq and is a predicted model, not a curated record. NCBI's taxonomy places the organism in Eukaryota, Metazoa, Chordata, Mammalia, Chiroptera, Phyllostomidae.